This 44321-nucleotide long non-coding RNA is filed under the name Triticum aestivum (bread wheat). RNAcentral describes it as "long non-coding RNA (TAES_LNC025863)". The stretch from base 2790 to 2913 matches the Rfam family "MIR1120/MIR1122 microRNA precursor family". Lineage: Eukaryota; Viridiplantae; Streptophyta; Magnoliopsida; Poales; Poaceae. The record is from RNAcentral.
UGAAUGCUGAUAUGGCGGAGAUUCAAAUGGGAAGGGAUUCAGAUGUGGUCAUCUCUUUUGUUCUCCGAUGUUCUGAUCGCGUUUCUUUCUUAUGUGAAUGGCUAAACAUCUCUGCUUCAUAACUCAGAACUGUGUUAUGGUGGAACAUUUUAGAUGAAGUUCAGUGUAGUAUCUCUUUAGAUGAUGUGUUGCCAUGGAGUUGGUGAGUAGUUUAAAGUUAAGGAAUUUGGUUAUUGGGCUUGUAGGAUUUCUAAUUGUACCAAGGUUAUGAUCCUUAGUGGGGUGUAAUUGUCCUGUUAUGUACAUGGGUAAUGAUCUAUGAAGGUCUCUUUAUAUGAAAAUGCAGGAAACAGUUCAAUUUUGCUUCGUUGUAGCGUUGAGGUGUUUUAAGUGUUCUUGUGCAUUGAUCACAUUUCUUUUCUUCCGUGAUUCGUAAAAAUGUCAUUCUCUUCUGUCGAUAUGUUGGGAUGUACGGAGUAGUUUCUAAGUAUAUAGGUAAAGUAAAGGAAUUUGGUUGUUGGACCUGUUGCAUUGCUAAAAUUGUAUGAAGGUUAUGAACUUAUGAUCCUUAGGUGGGGUGUAAUUGUCCUGUUAUUUACAUGGGCUUUAAUCCGUGAAGGUUUCCUAUAUGAAAUUAUAGGAGAACAGUUUAGUUCUGCUUCUUAUUGUAGCUCUGAGGUGUCGAAGUACUCUUGUGCAAGUCGCUAGGUCUGCAUUUGCUUGUUGUGAUUGCAUACGAAUCGGCUUAGCAAACAUAAAUUAAUAGUUGCACUGUAUAUUUGCAUAGCAUGGAAAGAAGAUGCUUUGACUGUACUCUGAUAGGUUAUACAUGUUUUAAUAAAAUGAUUUGAUGUUGUGUAACAUAACUUGGAGUAUCCAUAAUGGAAGAUCAUUUAUAUGCAUGGCAUGGCCGUCUCCUAGUUUUGCGCAAAAUUGGCGGGUAAGUAAAAUUAUCAAAGGUAACGACUAUCUUUUAAGCUUGUUUUAUUAUCUCUCUGACAUUUGUUGUGGAGCUUUAGUUACCUCCUUUUUACCUGAUAUUCACUCCAUUUUAUUACCGAAUUUGGUACUCCCUCCGAUCCAAAUUAAUUGACGGAGCUUUAGUAUUGCCUCGAUAUCUUGAUUCCGCUGUCUGUUGCAUUUGUAGCGCGUGCUUGGUUCGAUGCCAAUAUUUGGCAUGCCAUGUUUAAAGGAAUUUGAUUGGCCAACAAAAUUUUGUGGUAACCUUUAGCCAAGUUGUCAAUGUUGUCAAGUUCUGGUUUUGCCAAAUAUUGGCUAGCCGACUUCUAGUAAUAAAUCAAGCAUGCCCCUAGCGACGUAAUUGCAUGCACUUCAUUUUCUUAUUUUUAACACUAUAACCCUAGGUUGACGGAUUGUUGCGUAUAAUGGGCUAUUCAUCUUGGUAGUUCAGUUAUAGUAGUACCUCAUGGAUGAAGCAACAAAAGUGUAGGCCAUAUACAUUUUUAUCAGGAGAUAAAAGCAACAUGAAUUGGUGAACCUCCAUCUGAGCCCCAAUUUACAGUUUGGUCUCUUUAGAAUUAUUUUUUUAAAUCAAUUGAUAUCCCUGGACAUUCUAAAACAGUCUGGCUGCUAGGCAAGUGAGCACAACUCAAUGCUCUUGGUGUAUUGAAGUUGCACCCCCUACUUGAGCAGAUCGAUUAACUUCUCCCCGGAAGGGUUUUGUAGCUCUGCGCUACAUCAGUUUCUUUUACCACAUACUUACUGAAGUAUAGCUUUGGUUAGAUUUGUGGAUAUCAUUGGUGGAAAGGGAGAUACAUAUGUUUUCUGAGGUUUUGUAAUCCAUUCUUUGACUAACUAAGCAUAUGGUGUGAGCUUGAAGAUUUGUAAUCCCUAUCUUACAUAUAUUUCUCAUUCUCAUCUGGUCUGUUUUUUCAAGGGUCAUCUGGUCUGUUACACUCAACCAGAAUUGAUCUGUAGGCGCUGGGUUGAGGAUAUGCUUUUUUAAUGCUCAGUAUUGUAGUCUAGGAUGGAGCUUGUCUGUUCCUACCGGAGGCCCCCCUGCCAGUGUGUGCCACGGUCUGCUGCUUGGGUCAACCGCCCCAAACAAAGGUCUCUCAUCUAGUCUUUCUCUCUUUAUUUCUGACUUGUCUUACUAGGUUCUUGCCUGACUUGUGAAUUUUUCAAAGGAUCUGUUGUCUACUUCAUCCUAAGAGGCUAAAAAUAUUCAAGUUAACUGGGAAACAAAGGAAAUAUUUGUGGCGGGUGGAGAUUAUAUAUGUCUGCAGAUUCAUUAUUGUAGAACCAAAUGUGCACUAGAAUUGUACUCCCUCUGUUUCUAAUGUAGUCCGUAUUGAAAUCUUUAAAAAGGCUUAUAUGGAGUACAUGAACAGAGGGAGUAUAACCAAAGCAACUCUUAUAGACGUAAACAUGUGCUAUUUCCUUCUUUAUUUUUUGAGGAUACGUAAACAUGUGCUAUGAGGGACAUAGGAGCAGAGCUGCGCCAGCAAUGCGUUUCCUCCUGAUUUGCCACUCGUUUCCCCCUGAUUUGGGCUCUCCAUUCCCAUUGUCAUGUCAUGUCUAUGUUCUUUAUCUAGUAUACUAAAAGCGUGAUCAGCGUCGAUUCACUCGAAUUGUUUUCAGAUAAGGCGAUCGGAUUUUGCAAAGCAUCUUUCGAAACAGGAGGACCCAUCAUCUUAUCUCCUCUACAGUUCUCAGCACAACACCAUUUUGGACCGGUCUUUAUUUCCGAGAUUCCGUAUUAGAUUAUUUAUCGCUGGUUUAGUACAAUUUUGUUGUAAAUGAGCGACAACUAAUAUUAUGAAGCGGAGGAAAUACUUCCUCCCUCCGGAAAUAUUUGUCCUAGAAAUGAAUAAAAUGAAUGUGUCUAUAACUAAAAUAAGUCUAGAUACAACCAUUUCUAGGACAAGUAUUUUCGGACGGAGGGAGUACAUGCUUGCAUUCCUUACUUGCCUAGGGUGGGAAAGAAACUGUUUUCAAUUGGUACUCGCUGGAUUUCUGUCUAUCUUUUAUCUUUUUUUAGGAAAGAAUUUCUUUUUAUCUUAAUUAAUGAAUGAGACAAAUCUUUUGCUUCGGUUUUAAUAAAUAUAAUACAAUUUCAUUCAUAGACUCCUCAAACCUUGAAAGAGAAUAAAUUUGUGAACCAACAUGUGGUUGGAUAGUUAGGAGGAUAGUGCUAUCUCCUGUCAUCAGAGUUCAAGUUCUGAAUUUAUUCUAGGCCUUCGGUGAUGUGCGUUCAGUGGAAGAAGAUGUUCCUGUCAACUACGAAGGUGUCUGUCGACUUGGUCAAUCUCUAGAUGUCGACUUCGUAUAAUGUGUUGGCUAAGUCUACUCAUAGGGAUAGGGUGUGCGUGCGUAUGUUCAUAGGAAUAAGUAUAUAUGCGUAUGUAUGAGCAUCCUCGUCUGUAUUGUGUUAAAAAAAUGUAAAAGAAAUUCUAGCCAACCUAGCAUGCUCAGGAGUAACUAUUUUUGAAUCUAAAGAUAGAAAAGUCACAAGCAAUAAAACAACAAUCAUCAAAAACUGUUGUCGCCUCUCCUGCGGACCGUACACGCCAAAACUUCCAUCAUCAGAACAUCCACAAUGAUCUAUUCUCCAAAACCCUCCUACAAUAUGUGUUCGUUUAUUGUUCAUCAGGAUAGCCCUGGUCGUAUCCUUAAGAAAAUCAUGAUCAAAGGAGCAUUAACAUUAAGCUUCACAAAUCCCAUUAGAGGGCGAAUUCAUCCACACCCCCUCGUAGAAACGUUUGAAGAGGAAUCAACAAUAUAAUUAACCGUAAGAGCUUGUAUCAUCGUUGAAAUUUGGAUAACAUCUUGAAUGUUCUCCUUAUGGAUGAUUUUACGUCUUUCUCACCACAAAUACCAGGUCGUAAUGGUAAUCAUCUCCCGAAUUCUGAAACCCCAUAAUAGAUAAAUCAUGAUCUGGCAUGUGUAACAAGAAUUCCAGGACAGCCUCACCAACACGAUCAACUUUGCAAGCUCUAACAAUAACUUCGUAAAAACCUAGUCUUCUCCAAACCACCUUACACUGGUAGAAAAAGGGCCUGUUGUCCCGGUUCAUAAGGGCCUUUAGUCCCGGUUCCUGAACCGGGACUAAAAUGUCGGUACUAAUGCCCUGUCCCUUUAGUCCCGGUUCAAUCCAGAACCGGGACUGAUGGGCCUCCACGUGGCCUGUGCGCGGAGCCCAGGCAGGAGACCCUUUGGUCCCGGUUGGUGGCACCAACCGGGACCAAUAGGCAUCCACGCGUCAGCAUUUCUGUGGCUGGGGUUUUUGUUUUUUUUUGAAGGNNNNNNNNNNNNNNNNNNNNNNNNNNNNNNNNNNNNNNNNNNNNNNNNNNNNNNNNNNNNNNNNNNNNNNNNNNNNNNNNNNNNNNNNNNNNNNNNNNNNNNNNNNNNNNNNNNNNNNNNNNNNNNNNNNNNNNNNNNNNNNNNNNNNNNNNNNNNNNNNNNNNNNNNNNNNNNNNNNNNNNNNNNNNNNNNNNNNNNNNNNNNNNNNNNNNNNNNNNNNNNNNNNNNNNNNNNNNNNNNNNNGGGGGGGUUGGGGGUUUUGGGGGGUUAAUUUAGGUGUUUCAUGUAUUGUGUUAGCUAGCUAUAAUUAAUAGAGAGAAGUGUCCUCUCUUAUGUCCGUGCUUGGUCGACGCUACGUACUAUACAUACGUAUAGAGAGGACUAGACACGCUAGCUAGCUAGUAAGCAACGAAGGAAACAGAAGAUCGUCAUGAACAUAUAUGCAUACAGAGAGAAGUGAUAUCGACCACCUCUCCUUCUCCGAGAGAUUGGUCGAACAACAAGUUCUCGUAUAUCUAUCCGACACUACCGGCUACAUAUAUACAAUAAUUAUCUCUUACAAAUAUAAUCAUACGGACUCAUGGUCCAUAUAGUAUUCUCCGUCUUCAGCGAUCACGUGGUCAAGAAAGAAUGCCGCCAAUUCCUCUUGAAUUGCUCGCAUGCGAGCUGGUGCUAGGAGUUCAUCCCGCUUCCGAAACAUCUAAUUUGAAGAAGGGGGUCAAUACAUAUAUAUAUGAAUGAAUGAAACUCAAUACAAAUGAUGGUAAUAAAAUAAAAUUGUGAAUGUUGUUAUUUAUGUACUUCAUAUUGUUCGUCAGAGUACCCGCCCCGCUCACAGGUCGUGUGGCGGAUGGACUCGCAGACGUAGUAUCCACAGAAAUCAUUCCCUUGUUCCUGCCACAACCACUUUACAAGAAAUAGAGGUCAAUCAAACUGAUAAGCAAGAAUGCUAAAUGGUAUUGAUGAAACUAGUGCUUGAAUCACUAGGAGAUGCGCGGAACAUGCUACUAUAGUACUUACUUUCGGGUGUCUAAAUUCCAGCUCCUUCGGCAGUCCCGGAACUUUUCUGGUGAAUUUUGUCCAAACCUUGCCGGACAAAGAAAACAAUUACUUGAUAUCAGGAAAUGAACAAAGUUGUUGAUAUGGUGGAUAAUGAUCGAUUUAACUUACUUCUUGAGGAUUUCAGCCAUGUCCGCAUACUCCUGGGGAUCUUUUCGUUUAGAGUCCAAGACGGUUACUACUCCCUGCUCAAGCCUAAUCUCUAGGAGAAUAUAGUGGAAACUGCACACGCAUGCAUAACUCAUCAAUUACAUUACUAUAACCUGGACUAAUAUAUAAGGGAAACCGAAUAUGCACAAGACAGUAACACUCACUUGAAGUUGUAAGGAAAGAGUAUUAUAUCUUUGUUUUCAUUUUUUUUGAAUGAUCGUAGCAAGUUGGCCUCGGUAUCUCCGGGACGAUGUUCAACCUCAGUUGCAUCUAUGAGAUAUGUGUUAACGAACCCAAUAUCACCGAUUUGUCUUUUCUUCAAUUCGGCGAUCUUCAUUCUGCAUAAUAUAGUGAGAAUAAUUAUAAAUACAUGCAAUGAAAGAGAUGAGCUAUAUAGAGAGACUUAAUGACAGAAGUAGUAGUACUUACAGACAGUAGCAGGUGAUCGUUGUUUUAUCGAGGGCCAAUUGAUUGAAAAACUUAUAGAACUCCUCAAAUGGAAUAGGCAACAGUUCAAUUCCAACGAGGUCAUGCUCCGGUUUAACUCCCGCAUACAAAGUACUCCUCCCGUACCAAUCAUGUAAUCUUCGCAUCAUCGUUGUUAAAGAUUUUUCAUCUUUGACGAGAGGCUUCCCGUACUCGUAUCUGUGUAUCUGCACCUCCAUGGGAUCAUAAUGUACAUCGUCGGGCAGGUAAUCGUCAACAUUGCCAUAACCGGGCACCAUCCUCGGAUCGACGAUGUCGCUAGGCACCUUGAGGGGGGGGGGCACGAUUUCUUCGCUUGUUCGCCGAGCUGGGCAAUUUGUUUCCCAGCUGCUCGUCGUUCUUUCAGCCUUUGAUCACUGACUGUACUUCCCGACCGCUCCGCUUCGGCCCAUGUCUUUGCAAUAAUGCGCUCACAGUUGCCUUUCGGCGGAGACUUGGGUGGUUUUGCCAGGGCAGCUAGAGUGCGCUUCACUUUCACCGGAUCUACCUUCUCCUCCGGAGGUGGAUGUCUCUUUGCUCUCAACCCUUGAAACCAGUCAUCCACUUCGGUUCGCGCGAUCUUUGCGUUCUCCUCCGGGGUCCUCUCGUAUGGUAACUUAUGUGGACUCUUCAGAGAAGGACCGAAUCUGUAUGUCCUCCCGCCUCUGGUUGUACUGCUAGACGCCGGUCGAGUAGACGAAGCGGUUGUCUUCUUUACUUGCUUAGGAGGCGGAGAAGAAGGACUACAACGCGUCGGAGCAGCUGCUGGAGCGGCAGCAGGUCUCUUCCGCCCUUGCUGAUGAGGCGGAGAAGGAGGAGGCUGGCUGCUCGGGCGCGCCGGCGCAGGCGGAGUGCCGCCACGCGCCGGAGAAGGAGCCGGCCGAGGGCCCUGAUCGUCACUCGCCGGAGGAGGAGGCGGUGGAGGAGGCGGAGUGCCCUGACUCGCCGGAGGAGGAGGAGGAGGCGGAGGCGUCCAGUUCGGAAGGUUGAUGAGCUCCUUCCGCCAUAGGCAUGGAGUCUUCAGAGCAGACCCCAGCCGAGUCUCCCCUUCACCGGUAGGGUGGUCAAGGUGGAGGUCCUCAAAUCCCUCCGUUAUUUCAUCCACCAUCACCCUAGCAUAUCCUUCUGGAAUCGGUCGACAGUGAAAAGUUGCAUCGGGUUCAGUAGGAUAAACAGAGCCAACAGCCGCCUUGACCUUCAAAUUCAUCCAUUGCGUCAUAAGGUGGCAAUUUUGAGACUCCGUGAUAGCAUCCACGGGAUAGCUGGCAGGAGCCAUCAAGGCAUGCUCCGGCUGAAGCAGCUCGGUGGAAGCCACGCUGCUUCUGCGCUGAGAUGGCGGGGUAGCUUCGGGGGAAGCUUCGGCAGUACGUUUGCUGCGAUUUUCUUCUCGUUCCUCUAUCGCGUCUACCCUUGCUUGCAGCACCUGCAUUUGGGUCUGCUGCACUUUUUUCCUCUUCUCAUGGGAUUUGUAACCGCCUGCGUCCGGAAACCCAACCUUCCACGGAAUGGAGCCUGGCGUGCCUCGUGUCCGUCCAGGGUGCUCAAGAUUCCCGAGGGCCAUUGUGAGCUCGUCGUUCUCUCUGUCUGGAAAGAACUUCCCUUGCUGCGCUGCUUCGAUAUACUGCUUAAGCUUCCUGACUGGUAUGUCCAUUUGAUCGUUCGUCCAAAUGCACUUCCCUGUUACAGGGUCCAAGGUUUCGCCAGCCCCGAAGAACCAAGUAGGGCAACGGUCUGGCCAGCUAAUUGUCUCUAGUUCGAUCCCUUUAUCAACCAGAUCAUUCUCAGUCUUGGCCCACUUAGGCCAGGCUACGAGGUAGCCACCUGACCCCGUGCGAUGGUGAAGCAUCUUCUUCACAGCAUUUUGCUUGUUUGUCGCCGACAUCUUCUUACUCUUUUCCGAUGUCUUGUGGGCCACAAAUGCGGGCCAGUGAUCUGUGAUCUUCUCAUAUCUGCCCUUGAAUUCUGGUGUCUCAUUAUUUUCGACAAACUUAUUCAGCUCUUUCUUCCACCUCCUGAAUAGUUCUCCCAUCCUCUUAAGAGCAAAAGACUUGAGUAGUUGCUCUUUAACUGGGUUCUCUGGAUUAUCCUCUGGUGGUAGGGUGAAAUUUGACUUCAGCUCAGUCCAAAGAUCAUUUUUCUGCAUAUCAUUGACAUAAGACACCUCAGGGUCUUCUGUAGCCGGCUUAAACCAUUGCUGGAUGCUUAUCAAGAUCUUGUCCCUAACCAGAACCCCAUACUGAGCAACAAAUGCGCUCUUUCUCCGGAGGGGUUCAAUCGGUUGACCGUCGGGCGCGAUUGCUAUGAUCUCAAACUUUUCAUCCGAGCUCAACUUUUUCUUCGGGCCUCGUCUCUUUACCGAAGUUGUGCUCGAUCCGGAGGGCUAGAAAAAAGAACAAAGACUUAAUUAAUAUGUGUACAUACCAAAAGAAUGAAUGCAUCAAUCAGCUAGUCAGCACAGGCUUAACUAAUAUAUAUACCUGGCCGGACUCGGUUGGGUCACCGGAGCCGUCAUCACGGUCUCCUUCUUGCACCAGCAUUGGGUCACCGGAGCCGUCCUCAUGUUCUUCUUCUUGCACCGGCAUUAGGUCACCGUAGCCAGCUUCUUCACCCUCUCCUUCCAGACCAUCGGUGUCGUUGAGAAACAACGAGACGGCAUCACUUCCUUCUGCGAUUAUGUCCCUCAACAACGCUUCUUUUGCUUCGUCUAGGGCGGUGUCCAUAGUUUCUACAAAUAUUUACAACAUGGCAAUUAUUAUUCAAACAUGACAGAUGGAUAUAUUAGUGCCAAACAUAGAACUAGCUACCUAAUCAUAGUAAGGAAUCAUAUAUAUUAAUUAGUGGCCUUGACCCCCCCCCCCACGUGUUGAAGCUAUCGGGAGGGGGUAUAUAUCGACAACGACGACACUACAUCUAUAUGUCCCUCGACGACCCUCGUUCCCGAUAAAAAAAGAGGAAGAAGAAGAAAAAAAAGAGGAGAAGAAAGAAUAGAGGAGAAGUCUCCUCUAUUCUUUCUUCUCCUCUUUUUUUUCUUCUUCCUCUUAUUUUUUUAUCCUCUUCUUCCUCUCAUGUUCGAGAGGAUCGCCGAGGGGUCGGAAGGUUGCCUAGUGUCAAAGGAUUCAACAAAACCAUGUCUUCAUCAUUAGGCGAAAGUAACAGGUGCAUGAUGGUACGAAGCUCUCCAAAGUUAUUUUGGAACGGAGUCCUAGAUAGGAUAAUUCGCUUUUUGGUACAAAGUUCAGCAAGAACCUUCAAAAUAUCGUUAUUUGGAAGGCCUUUGGUGAAAUUCAUACAAAAAGGCAAAUUAUCCUAUCCGGGACACCAUUCCAAAAUAACUUUGGAGGACUUCGUCAUGCCCUGGUUACUUCGGGCUAAUGAUGAAGCCAUGGAUUUUUUCAAUACUUUGACACUAGGAAACCUCUCUCGACCCCUCGGCGGUCCUCGACCCCUCGAAGCCUCGACGACCCUGGAACCCUCGACCCCUAGACGACCCUGAAAUAAAAAGAGGAGAAGAAGAAAGGAAUAUCUAGAGGAGAAGAUCGAAGAAAAAAAAGAAGAAAAAAAAGAGGAGAAGAAGAAAGGAAUAGAGGAGAAGAAGAGAAAAUAGAAUAUUCUAUUUUCUCUUCUUCUCCUCUAUUCCUUUCUUCUUCUCCUCUUCUUCUUUUUCUUCUUCUUAUUUAUUUUUCCCCUUCUUCCUCUCCUCUUCUUCUCCUUUCUUCCUCUUCUUAUUUUCCUUUUCCCUCUCCUUCUUUUUCUUCUUCUUCCUUCUUUCUAGCUAGAUAUAUAAAACUUUUCUAAAAAUGUAACUUUUGCAUAUAUACAUGGAAAAAAUUGUUAUCGGGGAGGGAAUAUAUUCUAUUUUCUCUUCUUCUCCUCUAUUCCUUUCUUCUUCUCCUCUUCUUUUUUUUCUUUUUCUUAUUUAUUUUUCCCCUUCUUCCUCUCCUCUUCUUCUCCUUUCUUCCUCUUCUUAUUUUCCUUUUUCCUCUCCUUCUUUUUCUUCNNNNNNNNNNNNNNNNNNNNNNNNNNNNNNNNNNNNNNNNNNNNNNNNNNNNNNNNNNNNNNNNNNNNNNNNNNNNNNNNNNNNNNNNNNNNNNNNNNNNNNNNNNNNNNNNNNNNNNNNNNNNNNNNNNNNNNNNNNNNNNNNNNNNNNNNNNNNNAACUUUUCUAAAAAUGUAACUUUUGCAUAUACACAUGGAAAAAAUUGUUAUCGGGGAGGGAAUAUAUUCUAUUUUCUCUUCUUCUCCUCUAUUCCUUUCUUCUUCUCCUCUUCUUUUUUUUCUUUUUCUUAUUUAUUUUUCCCCUUCUUCCUCUCCUCUUCUUCUCCUUUCUUCCUCUUCUUAUUUUCCUUUUUCCUCUCCUUCUUUUUCUUCUUCUUCCUUCUUUCUAGCUAGAUAUAUAAAACUUUUCUAAAAAUGUAACUUUUGCAUAUAUACAUGGAAAAAAUUGUUAUCGAGGAGGGAGUAUAUCGACCCCCCCUCGACCCUCUUUUACUUCUUCUUCCUUCUUCCUUCUUCCUCUUUUCUUCUCCAACACAAAACACAUCUCAUCUCAUCUCAUUUCAUCCAAAAAUAAUUCUUUGCAUAUGAACAUACAUACAUUUACUUUUUUUCUUAAAUGUUACAUAUGAACAUUUUUUUAAAUAUUAAUGAGCAUAUGAACAUACAUAUCAACAAAAAAUAGACCUUUUUCUUGGUAACAAAAAAAAUGCAAAACGAGCAUUAUAUAUACAGCAUAUAUAGAGCAUUAUACAGUGAACAUACAUACAUACAUACAUACAGUGAGCAUAUACAUGAGCAUUAUACGGCGACGGCGACGAUGGUUGGCGGUGGCGCACGCUUACGGAUGACGUGCGGGGACGGCAAUGAGAAGGAAAAGGGGAGGAGGCAGGGGCUCACAGUGCGGGGAGGGGUCGAGGUCACCGGCCGGAAUCGGUGCGGGUGACGAUGACGGCGUCGGCGGGGGCGACGGGCGGCUUCGGGGCAGCCUGGAGGCGACGGGGCAGGGGCGACGACGGGGGCGCGUGGACGGCGUCUGGGCGGCGGGCGGCGUCGGGGUAGCGGAUCGGCGUCGAUCUGGGCAGCCUGGCGGCGUCGAUGAGCUCGGCGUUGUCGGGCGGGCCGGGGGGCAACUUGCGAUGAGUUCGUCAAAUUUUCCCAAGUGCUACUUAUNNNNNNNNNNUGCUACUUAUAUACCCAGGCCUUUGGUCUCGGUUCGUGGCACAAACCGGGACUAAAUGGGGCAUUGGUCUCGGUUGGUGGCACCAACCGGGACCAUAGGUCUCUUUUCAGCAGCCGAAAGGGCGGGAAGCAGAGGCAUAUGGUCCCGAUUGGUGGCACCAACCGGGACUAAAGGGGGGCAUUGGUCACGGUUGGUGACACGAACCGUGACCAAUGCCCCCUUAGUCCCGGUUGGUGCCACCAACCGGGACCAAUGGCCUUGUGCUGCCCCGCGCCCAAAAGUUUAGUCCCACCUCGCUAGUUGAGAGGGCUCGGGAGUGGUUUAUAAGUGCUGCUGCGCCCACCCUCCCGAGCUCCUCUCAACUGCAGGUUUUCGGGCCUAAUCUGUCACCGCAAUGACUGUAGGCCUACUGGGCCUGCUGCGGGCCUGAAUCCUAGCCCAUGGUAGGGUUUCUAGUCGUAUUCAGGCCGUGGUGGCCCAGUAGGUGGCAUUUUUUGUUUUUUUGUUGCUUUAUUUAUUUUCUUUUGUUUUUUGCUUUAUUUUUUAAUUCUUUAUGCUUUUAGUUUUAGAAAAAUUAUAAACUUUUUGUUAAUGCCAUUAGUUUUCAAAUUUGAAAAUAAUUUUUUAGUAUUUUUGUUUUCUUUGUUGCUUUCUUUAUUUUAUUUUGUGAUUAACUUUACUAUAAAAAUAGUUUUUUCCUGUUUUUUUGAUUUGUUUUUUGCAUUAUUUAUUUUAUUUUGUUUUUUGCUUUAAUUUUUAAUUCGGUUUGCUUUUAGGUUAGCAAAAUUAUAAACUUUCUGUUAGUGCCAUUAGUUUUAGAAAAAUUAUAAACUUUCUGUUAGUGCCAUUAGUUUUCAAAUUUGAAAACACUUUUUUGUUUUUUUGUUUUCUUUGUUGCUUUAUUUAUUUUAUUUUGUGAUUAACUUUACUAUAAAAAUAGUUUUUUCCUGUUUUUUUGAUUUGUUUUUUGCAUUAUUUAUUUUCUUUUGUUUUUUGCUUUAAUUUUUAAUUCUGUUUGCUUUUAGGUUAGCAAAAUUAUAAACUUUCUGUUAGUGCCAUUAGUUUUAGAAAAAUUAUAAACUUUUUGUUAGUGCCAUUAGUAUUACGAGGGCCGAACCAUAAGACAUGAAAGCAUUUCAAAUGAACUCUGAAAAAGUUGAAAGUUGGGAUGGUAUCAUAAUUUCACCCACAUAGCAUAUGCAUGUACAAAACGGACAAUGGUAGCAUGUUCGUGUGUUACAAAGUUGCGGGAGAAAGUCUUCACUUUUUCUUCGCUUGUGUCAUUUGCUUAUUGCGCCGUAACCAUGGAUAAUCUUCAUUGUUUAUCAAGAUGCUUGGGUCAGCCUUGACAUUGAAGGGAGGAAUUUCAUGAAACUUUUCAUAAUCUUCAGACAUGUCUGUCUUGCCGUUCACUCCCAGGAUGUCCCUUUUUCCUCAAAGAACUAUGUGGCGCUUUGGCUCAUCGUAUGAUGUAUUCGCUUUCUUAUCUUUUCUUUUUCUCAGUAUGGUAGACAUGUCCUUCACAUAGAUAACCUGUGCCACAUCAUUGGCUAGGACGAAUGGUUCAUCAGUGUACCCAAGAUUUUUUAGAUCCACUGUUGUCAUUCCGUACUGUGGGUCUACCUGUACCCCGCCGCCUAACAGAUUGACCCAUUUGCACUUAAACAAAGGGACCUUAAAAUCAGGUCCGUAGUCAAGUUCCCAUAUGUCCACUAUGUAACCAUAAUAUGUAUCCUUUCCGCUCUUGGUUGCUGCAUCAAAGCGGACACCGUUGUUUUGGUUGGUGCUCUUUUGAUCUUGGGCGAUCGUGUAAAAUGUAUUCCCAUUUAUCUCGUAUCCUUUGUAAGUCAAUACAGUCAAAGAUGGUCCCCUGGACAACAAGUACAACUCAUCACAAACAGUGUUGUCACCUCUGAGACGUGUUUCCAACCAACUGCUGAAAGUCCUGAUGUGUUCACAUGUAAUCCAGUCGUUGCACUGCUCCGGGUGUUUGGAGCGCAGACUGUUCUUGUGUUCAUCGACAUACGGGGUCACCAAGGUAGAGUUCUGUAGAACUGUGUAGUGUGCUUGAGACCAAGAAUAUCCGUCCCUGCAUAUUAUUGAGUCUCUUCCAAGAGUGCCUUUUCCAGUCAGUCUCCCCUCAUACCGCGAUUUAGGGAGACCUAUCUUGUUAAGGCCAGGAAUGAAGUCAACACAAAACUCGAUAACAUCCUCUGUUUGAUGGCCCAUGGAGAUGCUUCCUUCUGGCCUAGCAUGAUUACGGACAUAUUUCUUUAGGACUCCCAUGAACCUCUCAAAGGGGAACAUAUUGUGUAGAAAUACGGGCCCCAGGAUGAUAAUCUCGUCGACUAGAUGAACUAGGACGUGCGUCAUGAUAUUGAAGAAGGAUGGUGGGAACACCAGCUCAAAACUGACAAGACAUUGCGCCACAUCACUCCUUAGCCUUGGUACGAUUUCUGGAUCGAUCACCUUCUGAGAGAUUGCAUUGAGGAAUGCACAUAGCUUCACAAUGGCUAAUCGGACGUUUUCCGGUAGAAGCCCCCUCAAUGCAACCGGAAGCAGAUGCAUCAUAAUCACGUGGCAGUCAUGAGACUUUAGGUUCUGAAACUUUUUCUCUGGCAUAUUUAUUAUUCCCUUUAUAAUCGACGAGAAGCCAGUCGUGACCUUCAUACUGAGCAGGCAUUCAAAGAAGAUUUCUUUCUCUUCUUUCGUAAGAGCGCACUGGCAGGACCUUUAUACUGCUUCGGAGGCAUGCCGUCUUUUUCGUGCAAACAUUGCAGGUCCUCCCGUGCCUCAGGUGUAUCUUUUGUCUUCCCAUACACGCCCAAGCAGCCUAGCAGGUUCACGCAAAGGUUCUUCGUCACGUGCAUCACGUCGAUUGAGGAGUGGACCUCUAGCAAGCACGUGAUCACCGGUGCGCAUGGCGGGCUUCUUCCGGUGAUCUGCCUCGCCUUUGAAAUGCUUGCCUUUCUUUCGACAUUGAUGGUUGGUCGGAAGAAAUCGACGAUGGCCCAGGUACACAUUCUUCCUGCAUUUGUACAGGUAUAUACUUUCAGUGUCAUCUAAACAGUGCGUGCAUGCGUGGUAUCCUUUGUUUGUCUGUCCUGAAAGGUUACUGAGAGCUGGCCAAUCGUUGAUGGUCACGAACAGCAAUGCCUUAAGGUUAAAUUCCUCCUGUCUGUGCUCAUCCCACGUACGUACACCGUUUUCAUUCCACAGCUGUAAAAGUUCUUCAACUAAUGGCCUUAGGUACACAUCAAUUUCAUUGCCGGGUUGCUUAGGGCCUUGGAUGAGAACUGGCAUCAUAAUGAACUUCCGCUUCAUGCACAUCCAAGGAGGAAGGUUAUACAUACAUAGAGUCACGGGCCAGGUGCUGUGAUUGCUACUCCGCUCCCCGAAAGGAUUAAUGCCAUCCGCGCUUAAAGCAAACCAUACAUUCCUUGGGUCCUUUGCAAACUCAUACCAGUACUUUCUCUCGAUUUUUCUCCACUGCGACCCGUCAGCGGGUGCUCUCAACUUCCCAUCUUUCUUUCGGUUCUCACUGUGCCAUCGCAUCAACUUGGCAUGCUCUUCGUUUUUGAACAGACGUUUCAACCGUGGUAUUAUAGGAGCAUACCACAUCACCUUCGCAGGAACCCUCUUCCUGGGGGGCUCGCCGUCAACAUCACCAGGGUCAUCUCGUCUGAUCUUAUACCGCAAUGCACCGCAUACCGGGCAUACGUUCAGAUCCUUGUAUGCACCGCGGUAGAGGAUGCAGUCAUUAGGGCAUGCAUGUAUCUUCUCCACCUCCAAUCCUAGAGGGCAUACGACCUUCUUUGUUGCAUAUGUACUGUCGGGCAAUUCGUUAUCCUUUGGAAGCUUCUUCUUCAAUAUUUUCAGUAGCUUCUCAAAUCCUUUGUCAGCCACAGCAUUCUCUGCCUUCCACUGUAGCAAUUCCAGUACGGUACCGACCUUUGUGUUGCCAUCUUCGCAAUUGGGGUAUAACCCUUUUUUGUGAUCCUCUAACAUGCGAUCGAACUUCAGCUUCUCCUUUUGACUAAUGCAUUGCGUCCUUUCAUCGACAAUGACCCGGCGGAGAUCAUCAUCAUCGGGCACAUCGUCUGGUUCCUCUUGAUCUUCAGCAGCUCCCCCCGUUGCAGCAUCACCGUAUUCAGGGGGCACAUAGUUGUCAUUGUAGUCUUCUUCUUCGCCGUCUUCCAUCAUAACCCCUAUUUCUCCGUGCCUCGUCCAAACAUUAUAGUGUGGCAUGAAACCCUUGUAAAGCAGGUGGGAGGGAAGGAUUUUCAGGUUAGAGUAAGACCUCGUAUUCCCACAUUCAGUGCAUGGACAACACAUAAAACCAUUCUUCUUGUUUGCCUCAGCCGCAUUGAGAAACUCAUGCACGCCCUUAAUGUACUCGCGGGUGUGUCUGUCACCGUACAUCCAUUCCCGGUUCAUCUACGUGCAUUAUAUAUAAUUAAGUGUCCAAAUUAAUAGAAUUUCAUCAUCACAUUAAAACCAAAGUGCAUACAUAGUUCUCAUCUAACAACAUAUAGCUCUCCAGAGCAUCUAGUUAAUUAAACCAUACAUUGAAACUAUGUAAAACAUUUCAAUGCGAAAACAAAUGCGAUCAUAAUCGCAACCAAGGUAACAAUUGAUCCAACGGCAUAAUGAUACCAAGCCUCGGUAUGAAUGGCAUAUUUUCUAAUCUUUCUAAUCUUCAAGUGCAUUGCAUCCAUCUUGAUCUUGUGAUCAUCGACGACAUCCGCAACAUGCAACUCCAAUAUCAUCUUCUCCUCAAUUUUUUUAUUUUUUCCUUCAACAAAUUGUUUUCUUCUUCAACUAAAUUUAACCUCUCGACAAUAGGGUCGGUUGGCAUUUCCGAUUCACAUACAUCCUAGAUAAAUAAAAUCUAUGUCACGUUGGUCGGCAUAAUUUUCAUAAACAAUAAAUGUACCAAUAGUUAUAAAGAUAAUAUACAUACCACAUCCAAAUCAUAGACAGGACGAGGGCCGACGGGGGCGGAUACCAAAACCAUCGCACUAUAUAAGAUGCAAUAAUAAAUGUAAGAAAAUGAUACAAGUAUCUAUCUAAACAUACAAGUAAGAAUAUUUUUCCUUUCAGAAAGAAGAUAAGAACAAGAGGCUCACCACGGUGGUGUUGGUGAUGAGAUCGGCGCAGGUGAUCGACGGCGGUGAAGACGGGGACGGGGCGUGAUGGACCGCUAAAUCUAGACAAAUCUCGAGGAAAAUGGAGCUUGGAGGUCGAGCUUUGAGAGGAGAAAGCUUAAGUAGUGUGGCUCGGGCAUUCCAUCGAACACCUCAUGUGCAUAGGAGGUGAGGUAGAGCACCACAAAGCCCUCUCCCCCUCGGCCAGAGAAAAACAGAGCACUAGGGUGCUCUGCUCGCGAGCGAAGGGUAUAUAUAGGCACCUCAUUGGUCCCGUUUGGUGACAUGAGCCGGGACUAAAGGGGAGCCUUUGGUCCCGGUUUUGGUCCUGGUUCAAGCCACCAACCGGGACUAAUGGUGGUGGGCUAGGAGCGAGGCCCAUUGGUCCCGGUUCAUCCCACCAACCAGGACCAAAAGGUCCAGAUGAAUCGGGACCAAUGGCCCACGUGGCUCGGCCGGCCCCCUGGGCUCACGAGCCGGGACCAAUGCCCACAUUGGUCCCGGUUCUGAACUAAACCGGGACUAAUGGGCUGGCCCGGCCUAGACCAAAGCCCUGUUUUCUACUAGUGUUAGGUUUCUGUUAUUGAAACAACAAAUGAUUCGUGUCUUCUAGCCCAGAAGCAUAAGAAGGACAAAUUGGUGAAACAGUCUGUAGCGACCAGACCUCAAACAGUCCGAUCUCUGUGCUCCGGUGUCAUCCCUGGAUCAGUAAUGCUGACACCACACAGUACUUGGAGGAUUUAUAGUAGAGUAGCAAUCGCACACUUAUUACAUCGAGUGUCUCUAAAGAUAAUUUAUUACAAUAAAUAUGGCUUAAGGCCAUCUAAUAACGAUAACAGCGGAAGGCUUGGAAGAUAAGUGAGUCCAUCAACUCCAACGGCAUCACUGAGUAUAGAACCACGACCUAAAAACUCCUUAAUCGUCGUCUGAAAAGUCCGCAACAUUAACGUUGCAGCCCAAAAAUGGGUCAGCACAUGGAAUAUGCUGGCAAGGUAACACAUAGAGAGUAAUGGAAUGAAACAGCUAUACUAUAUGCAUAUUUGGCUGGUGGAAAGCUUUAUGGUUAUAGUUUUGCGUAAAGCCAAUUUUUCCCUACUUCAAAGGAAUACCAUUUAUUUAACUAUCAUGGUGGUUGUUAAACAUUGAGAAUGGUUGACAGCAUUCUCAAUCCCAAUUAAGCAUCAUCAUUAAUCAAAACCCAACAAAAUUAAUUUAGAGUAACAAGUUGAGAUUCACAUGAUAAUCCAGGUACUAGAUACUCAAGAUGUCCAUAACCGGGGACAUGGCUAACCAUGAUUAGUUUAUUACACUCUGCAGAGGUUUGCGCACUUUUUCCCACAAGACUCGAUCGCCUCCGUUUGUUUUCUCGCACUACAUGGUGUUUGAGAAGACGGAUGACCGAGACAUAGUCUUUCAGAAGCGCUAGCACCUUACGAUCGGGUAGACCGUACCACCUACAUCCCCUACAUCUGCUAGUCUACCACUGUAAGAGUUCGCAUAACUUAGUCAACUAUGCUAGAGCCCAUAAUAGCUUGUGGCUGCACACGGAAGUUUCUAGUAUGAAUAGUCUCAUGAUUCCUUUGAGCCUGGGUGGCGGUCCAAAAGAAAACAGGCAAGUCCUGGAAUAUCCAGGUGCCUCAAUCCACCCAGAUGUGUGUUUAAGUUGCCACCUUAGAUAAACCAUUAAUUAACAAACUCACAUCUGUCAUGGAUUUCACUCACCCAAUCCACGUCUACUAGCAUAGCAUGGCAUAAUAAGCAAACGUAGAAGUAACUCCCAAAGGUUUGAUAAUAAACAGGUAAUAGGUACUACCUCAUCUACUUCCCAUCCCACGGUUUAAUUAGAUCCUAAUAAUGCAAUGUCUGAGGAUUGAUCUAAUGCAAUAAAACUGGGUAGUAGAAAAGGUAUGAUCAAAGUGUUACUUGCCUUGCUGAUGAUUCGAGAAACCUAACGAUUCGAAGUAACAGGCGGCGCACUCCGGGUACUCUAUCGCAGACAAACAAACAAGCAUACAAUAAGUACUCAUCUAAUGCACAGGUAAAACUCAAAUAAGAGAUCUAACCAGAAGGUUCAACUUAAGAACUCCGGUUGGCAAAAAGAAUCAAAUCAAACGAAGCAGAGAAAGUCAAACGGCGAAAGAAAACAACUUCGUCCUAGUAAUCUGGAUCAAAGUCAAAUUUUACAGUAGCAAAAACUUGUUUAAGUUGAUUAUUCGGAUAGAGGGUUUCGAGACGAAACUCCAGGCGCUUGAAUCGUCUGAUUCCGAUAAACGAGUGAAAAGUUAUACUAAAACAAAAAUCGGAUCAGAAAUCGCGAUCAGAAAAUAACCGCGAAAAAUCCGACGAAAAAGAAAAACGACAAACGGAUUAAUUCGUUAAUUAACCUAAUCUGAAAAUAAUAAAAUAAUAAAAAACCGAAAAUAAAACCGACGAAAAUCAUUCGGUUUUUUCUAAAAAAACGACACGGAUUUCGAGGCGGCGGAGAACCUCGGGCGACACGCGUCGUGGCGGCGGCGGCGGCUCCAGCGGGCGGGUGGGCUGGCAGCGGCGGUUAUGGGCUGGGGGCUCGGGUGCGGCGCUAUUUAAAGGCGUCCCCCGGGCGGAGUCCCGCUCGGGCACGGCCCAAGGUCGGUUUCGUUUUUUUAAAUAAUUACGCUCGGAAGAAAAAUAAAAAGAAAUACUAAACGGUCUCCAAAAAUUCCGAAAUAAAUUUUCCCGGGCUUCUAAAAUCAAGCCCGACGAAGUGAACAUUUAUUUGGGCCCUAAAUGCAAUUUUGAAAAACGCGCAUUUUUCCUAAAUUCAAAUAAAAAUAUCGAAAAACUCCGAAAUAAAUCUUAUUUGAUUUUAUUAUUAAAUCCUCAAUAUUUCUAUAUUUUGGGAAAGUCAUUUUAUUCCCUCUCUCAUAUUUUUGUAAUAGAAAUAAUCGAUGAUAAAAUAAAUAAAAUCAAAUGAUGCUAUUUUCAAAAUUUGAGAAAACUCACAUAUGAAAAUAACGAAAUCCCCAACUCUCUUCAUGGGUCCUUGAGUUGCUUAGAAUUUUCUAGGAUCAAAACCCAAAAGCAAAUAAAAUAUGAUAUGCAUGAUGAUCUAAUGUAUAACAUUCCAAAUUGAAAAUUUGAGAUGUUACACAGUCUAUUGACAAGCGUAACAUGACAUAGGAGAGUACCAUGCAGCGCCCAUAAAAAAAUUUCCAUUUUUGCCGGACAAGAUAAAUUUGAAAUCUUGCACCAAAUGGGAAUAAAUUUGGUUCGACCCAUUCCAUUUGUAUGACAGAGUUUCCUUCCAUGUUGGUAAUCUCAUUCAACAAAAUGUGUAGAACGAACAUAUUUUUUUCCAUUCUUAGUAUAACUCCAGACAAUAAAAUCUGACGUGUCAAACAGAGGGAGGGGGAUAUUGAAGGAAAUAUGCCCUAGAGGCAAUAAUAAAGUUGUUAUUUUAUAUUUCCUUAUUCAUGAUAGAGGUUUAUUAUCCAUGCUAGAAUUGUAUUGAUCGGAAACCUUAAUACAUGUGUGAAUACAUAAACAAACACCGUGUCCCUAGUGAGCCUCUACUAGACUAGCUCGUUGAUCAAAGAUGGUUAAUGUUUCCUAACCAUGGACAUGAGCUGUCAUUUGAUAACGGGAUUACAUCGUUAGGAGAAUGAUGUGAUGGACAAGACUCAUCUGUUAGCUUAGCAUAAUGAUUUUUCAGUUUUAUUGCUAUUGAUUUCUUCAUGUCAAAUACAUAUUCCUUCGACUAUGAGAUUAUGCAACUCUCGGAUACCGGAGGAAUACCUUGUGUGCUAUCAAACGUCACAACAUAACUGGGUGACUAUAAAGAUGUCCUAUAGGUAUCUCCGAAGGUGUUUGUUGAGUUGGCAUAUAUCGAGAUUAGGAUUUUCCACUCCGAGUUUCGGAGAGGUAUCUCUGGGUCCUCUCGGUAAUACACAUUAUAAGCUUGCAAGCAAAUGACUUAGGAGUUGGUCACGAGAUGAUGUAUUACAGAACGAGUAAAGAGACUUGCCAGUAACGAGAUUGAACUAGGUAUGAUGAUACCGAUGAUCGAAUCUCGGCAAGUAACAUACCGAUGGACAAAGGGAAUUACAUAUGUUGUCAUAACACACUACUGCAGGAUGCUGCUAAUGUAACACUACGAUCAGAGACCCUUCGACAAAACUGUGUGCGAUGCAAUAAUCGCAAACGGUGGUGUAAAAAAACCAUCAAAAAAGGUGCAAAACGUUUGCGAUGGUGGAUGCAUCAAACACGGUUUAGAUUUUAGUCGCGUGUGCGAUGCAGGGCAUACGAUUCAGUUCAAUUAACUGUUUGCGAUGAGGAGGAACAAAAGAAACAUGCAGUCAGAUGAAGGUGUGUGCGAUAUACAACAUACAGUUCACUCAGAUGAACUGUUUGUGAUUAGGCAACACAAAAGAAACGGUCAUCCAGAUCAAGAUGUGUGCGAUAUAUGGCAUGCGGUUCAAUCGGAUGAACUGUUUGCUUUGAGCCAAGAGAACAAAACGGUUCAAUAUAACAAGAUGUGUGUGAUACGCGGUAAACGGGACUGUAGUCGGAAACGUGUGGGAAGACCUAUAACAACACAGAUGAUUCCUGUUAACAAGCCGUGUGUGUUGUGAGCAAACGAUUGCUGGUAUACAAUUGUGAGUGAUUGAUGAAAACAUCACCGACGGGUUCCAUUGUUUAGUCCGUGUGUGAUGUGAUUUUCUUUCUCCGCACAACAUAUAUACUUGAAAAGACAGAUUGCAUUGCAUAACCAAAUUAAGCAUACAAUUACACAAGUGACUACACACAUAACAUUUCCACACAGCAAAGUAAGCAAUUAAAUGCAUACUAAACUAGGAGAAACGAGGAUCUAAUCAUCUACUUAUUGUUGCGACGACGCUUGCCAUUGCUCUGCUUUUGGCUGGAUCCCUGGUCGUUUUGGGGAAGGAGGCACUUCCUCAUGUCAAUGAUCCGCCUGUACAUGUCGUAUCUCGUGUAUGCCUCCUUGGCCGCGUACACGAGUAUCUCCAUCCAGGCCAAGUUCCAGGCACGCUUGUCCUCGUUGCAGGAAUCCUUCAUGUGUUUGUAGUAGGGGUCGAUGAUGGCCUUGACGAGGUGAACCAGUGAGUCCUUCUCAUGCUCCUUGCUCCCCCAGAUCUUGUAUUGGCCCUGGAUGUCGACAAGAUUCUGGCAGGCGAUGCCCGAAUUCUCGAGCGCCUUUACAUCGUUGGUGAUGUCCACCGUAGCGAACAUGUAGUGGGGGCUGUUGACAAACCUGGUGAAAUGCUCGCAAGGCCUUGUGGCCAGGCAGUAGUGGUAGACAAGGACGUGGUGGCGCACACACAUCUGGGCGACGGCGACCUGGGGAUGAGACCCGGCACAAGCGCGGGUGUACUCGAGGUCGAACCCGACCACCUUGUACUUCUCCUAAGCAAGCAACAACUCCAUGAUGUGGAUGGAGUGCUCCACCCAGACUGGGUCGUUGGUGUACACCAUCGAGAGGUCUGUGAACCUUCUUGGUGGGUGUGCUUCUUGCAUUGGUGGGGCGCGAUCGAAAGGUUGAAGAGACACAAGGGUUAAAUGGUCACUGUAAUAAUGGGGGUUGACCAGCCUGUAAUCGUCAUGUCUUGUCACGACGUUCAUAGCGGAGGAUUCUAGUGCAUGCUUGACAACACCGCACCGCACACAUUUCGUUUGACCACGCGUGGGCUCGAAGAGGCGCCAAAUGUAUCAUCAGUGAGCCAAUUCCCGUGCUACCACGCAGUUUACCGUGCUAGCUUCCCACCCCGGCUAGUUUGUCCACGCCUCGGCUAGAAGAGGGGCAUUUAUUGGCAAAAAGUUUUGUAAAAACAAAGUGUGUGGAAUGACUUCGGUCAUAAUUUUACCCAUGGGUGAUGAGGUCAAAGUUACAUAGAAGGGUGAUGAUGGACACUCGAGUGUGAUAAUUAAUUCUGCGCUCUACAGGGCACACGGUUGAAGAAACCAACUGUGUGCAAUAAUGUCGAAGAUCGCGGUCGAGUUAGCUAUACAGAUCGUGUGCUGUGAGGCCGACAAGGUAAACAUAUUCGAGAAUGGUUAAUAAAAUCUAAGACCAUUGCAUCUUAAGGUCAAAAUAGUGCUACCAAUAUACGAGACUCGUACGAUGCCAUUUCAAUGAUUGGAACACAAAAGCUCGAAAUAUUACAAGGUUCAAAUUCCAGAGUUAUAUGGCUCAAAUUCGAAGAUUACAAGGUUCAAACUGAUAUUAGAAAUGAAAUUCAGCUCAUCGGCUGCAAACGCUCGCGCUGAUCCACUAAACAUGGAUAUCAGAGAGGUUCAAACUAAUAUUACCACUUCUAAGUCUGGUUUUGAAACAUCAUAAUUUUUGCAAAGGGGUCAGCCACUGAGAAGUCAUGUAUGGGGUUGACACGACGACUUCCGAUUACUCUGUCAUCUGAAGUUCCAAAUUGAAAUUCAGCAUUUUUGGAGCCUAUUCCAUUCUGCCGCAGGCGCCGGCGCUGAUCAACAAACCAUUCAUUUUUGCGAAAUAAAUGUAGGGCAAACCUCAUUACCUUCAACACCUUUGCUCUCAAAACAAAGAACCUAGUGAAUAUAAUCUCCGGUAAGGUCCCUCGGUAGGCAUUCAAAGUAAUUUCUGAGAGAUGUAGAUCUAGGCAUUCGAUGUGAUUGUUAUAUUGUAUCACAUUAUCCACCAUUGGGCCUAAUCUUAUCUGCAAAAGUAGAAAACGUGGUAGUGCUUACAUGAAGUUUUGAACACUACUACAUGCCUAUUUGGUUUGCAGGAUUUGUAAAAUGCACUAACAUGUCAUCUUCAAUCUGACAUAACUAUUGGGUAUGACCCGCCUAGGAGGGGCCAGGUCAUGCCACUGGCGGUUUAAAGAUGAAGAAGCCCGAUAAGGUCCAAGAAGAUAUGUAGAUGGCGGUUCACAGAGCAAGCCAUUGAAGGCCCAAGACCCGGAGACGACUUGAGGCCCACGGGUGUGAGCCGCCAUAUUGUUAACUUGUUCUAUAAGGCAAGCUUAGUUAGAAACCGAGCUAGUCACGUUCGUGUGAGACGGACGGAACUCUGUAAGCCGCUGGGAAUCAACCUGUAUAUAAAGGGGUGACACGAUGGCGGGUUAACUCAAGAAACAACUGAACGAGAACUAGGUCAAGCGUAUUCGCUCCCUGGUAAUCGAAACCUGAGUAAUACAACCUUAACCAGGAGUAGGCUUUUACCUCAUUGAGAGGGCCCAAACCUAGGUAAACUCCCUGCGUCCUUUGUCCCGUUUAACCCCUUCAAGCUAACCUAGCUGCGAUGGCUCCACACCUAAGUCCGUUUGCUAGGGCAUCUAUCGUGUUAAGUCCACGAUAGUUGGCACCCACCGUGGGGCCAGCGCACGGUGGUUUCGAGUUCUUGAAGGGCAACUUCGCAGGGAUCAAGAGAUACGCCGUCGGUUGGAUGACUAAAAGCCGUCAAGGCAAGCUCUACAUCGACGAUGCUGGCUGGGGCCCUGAGGCCGGCUCAAUCAAGUACAGGUACCGGGUCCCCUUUGGCGGAAUCCACGUCUUCAUUGGCAAGAUCGGUGAGUUGGAGCCUGAGCCGGACACCUGCACCGACAUCAUCGAGACGGCUCAGCGUGCACGACCUGCCAAGGUUCAAGUCACCGUGAAGCACGCUUUUGUGGGUUUUACUCACGGAGUGGAUCUUGAGUAAGGAUCUGUGUCUGGUGGAGAGACAACCAUCUAUUCUGGUGACGAGUCCUCAACCGGCGAGACCAAUUCCAUAUAUCAAUUGUGAGAUGGUGGGCUUGGCGGGCUGUCCCAAUGGCGACAGUAUUCCGGACCACUAUGAGCCGCCGAAUAGGGUUGCGAUCUUCAUGGCCGACACACAACCGGUGCUCAAUUCGACAACUACUGCGGCUAUGACCUCCAGUUCAAAAGCUGCGGCGACUGUCGGGGCAAGCGGUUCUACGCGCCCGCCGCUCAAGUGUUAUCCGAGCUCUUGGAGGCUUUGGCGACCUUAUUGGCUGCAGAGGUGACACCAGAAAAUCAAGCACAUCAUAAGGUGGAUGUUGCGAAACUGCGAGAUGAGAUAGCUCAAGCUAAGGAGGAGUUUAAUGUAGAGAAUGCUAGGAUGGCAACAGAAUGAGCUGCUUUGGACGCUGCGACACAACUAUUGGGGAACGUAGCAUGCAAUUUCAAAAAAAUUCCUACGAUCACGCAAGAUCUAUCUAGGAGAUGCAUAUCAACGAGAGGGGUAGAGUGUGUCCACGUACCCUCAUAGACCGAAAGCAGAAGCGUUAGUUUAACAUAGUUGAUGUAGUCGAACGUCUUCGUGAUCCAACCGAUCAAGUACCGAACGCACGAUACCUCUGAGUUCAGCACACAUUCAGCUUGAUGACGUCCCUCAAACUCUUGAUCCAGCAAAGUGUCGAGGGAGAGUUUUGUCAGCACGACGGCGUGGUGACGGUGAUGGUGAUGUGAUCCACACAGGGUUUCGCCUAGGCACUAUGACAAUAUGACCGGAGGAGUAAACUACGGAGGGGGGCACCGCACACGGCUAAGAAACAAUUGAUGUGCAUUGGGGUGCCACCCUGCCCCCGUAUAUAAAGGAGGAGAGGGGAGGAGGCCGGCCCUAGGGGGCGCGCCAAGUAGGGAGAAACCCACUAGGACUCCUAGUCCUAGUCGACCCCCAUUUCCUUCUUUCGGAGGGGGAAAUGGGGAAGGAGAGGGAGAGGAAGAAGGAAAGGGGGCCGUGCACCCUCCCCUUGUCCAAUUCGGACUCCCCAUGGGGGGCACCCCUUGUGGGCUGUCCUCUCUCUCCCCUAUGGCCCAUGUGGCCCAUUACCUCCCCCCCGGGGGGGGGGGGGUUCUGGUAACCCCUCGGUACUCCGAUAAAUAUUCGAAACACUCCGAAACCAUUCCGGUGUCCGAAUACUAACGUCCAAUAUAUCAAUCUUUAUCUCUCGGCCAUUUCAAGACUCCUCAUCAUGUCCAUGAUCUCAUCCGGUGACCAAAAUAUCUUCGGUCACCAAAACACAUAACUCAUAAUACAAAUCGUCAUCGAACGUUAAGCGUGCGGACCUCUAUGGGUUCGAGACCUAUGUAGACAUGAACGAGACACAUCUCUGAUCAAUAACAAACAGCGGAACCUGGAUGCUCAUAUUGGUUCCUACAUAUUCUACAAAGAACUUUAUCGGUCAAACCGCAAUGACAACAUACGUCAUUCCCUUUGUUAUCGGUAUGUUACUUGCCUGAGAUUCGAUCGUCGGUAUCCGCAUACCUAGUUAAAUCUUGUUACCGACAAGUCUCUUUACUUGUUCCGUAAUGCAUCAUACCGUAACUAACUCAUUAGUCACAUUGCUUGCAAGGCUUAUCAUGAUGUGCAUUACCGAGAGGUCCCAGAGAUACCUCUCCGAUACUCGGAGUGACAAAUCCUAAUCUCAAUCUAUGCCAACCCAACAAACACCUUCGGAGACACCUGUAGAGCAUCUUUAUAAGAACCCAGUUAUGUUGUGACGUUUGAUAGUACACAAGGUGUUCCUCUUUUAUGCGGGAGUUGCAUAAUCUCAUAAUCAAAGGAAUAUGUAUAAGUUAUGAAGAAAGCAAUAGGAAUAAUACUUAACGAUCAUUAUGCUAAGCUAACGAGUGGGUCUUGUCCAUUACAUCAUUAUCCUAAUGAUGGGAUCCCGUUUAUCAAAUGACAACACAUGUCUAUGGUCAGGAAACUUAACCAUCUUUGAUUAACAAGCUAGUCAAGUAGAGGCAUACUAGGGAUACUUUGUUUUGUCUAUGUAUUCACACAUGUAUCAAGUUUCCGGUUAAUACAAUUCUACCAUGAAUAAUAAACAUUUAUCAUGAUAUAAUGAAAUAUAAAUAACAACUUUAUUAUUGCCUAUAGGGCAUAUUUCCUUCAGUCUCCCACUUGCACUAGAGUCAAUAAUCUAGAUUACAUUGUAAUGAUUCUAACAUCCAUGGAGUCUUGGUGCAGAUCAUGUUUUGCUCAUGGAAGAGGCUUAGUCAACGGGUCUGCAACAUUCAGAUCCGUAUGUAUUUUGCAAAUCUCUAUGUCUCCCUCCUUGACUUCAUCACGGAUGGAGUUGAAGCGUCUCUUGAUGUGUUUGGUUCUCUUGUAAAAUCUGGAUUCCUUUGUUAAGGCAAUUGCUCCAGUAUUGUCACAAAAUAUUUUCAUUGGACCCGAUGCACUAGGUAUUACACCUAGAUCGGAUAUUAACUCCUUCAUCUAGAUUCCUUCAUUUGCUGCUUCCGAAGCAGCUAUGUACUCCGCUUCACACGUAGAUCCCGCCACAAUGCUCUCCUUGGAACUACACCAAUUGACAAUUCCACCAUUCAAUAUAAAUACGUAUCCGGUUUGCAACUUAGAGUCAUCCGGAUCAGUGUCAAAUCUAGCAUCAACAUAACCAUUUUACGACGAGCUCUUUGCCACCUCCAUAAACGGUAAACAUAUCCUUAGUCCUUUCAGGUAUUUCAGGAUGUUCUUGACCGCUGUCCAGUGAUCCACUCCUGGAUUACUUUGGUACCUCCCUGCUAAACUUAUAGCAAGACACACAUCAGGUUUGGUACACAGCAUUGCAUACGUGAUAGAACCUAUGGCUGAGGCAUAGGAAAUGACUUUCAUUUUCUCUCUAUCUCCUGCAGUGGUCGGGCAUUAAGUUUGACUCAACUUCACACCUUGUAACACAGGCAAGAACCCUUUCUUCGACUGAUCCAUUUUGAACCUCUUCAAAACUUUAUCAAGGUAUGUGUUUUGUGAAAGUCGAAUUAAGUGUCUUGAUCUAUCUCUAUAGAUCUUGAUGCCUAAUAUAUAAGCAGCUUCACCGAGGUCUUUCAUUGAAAAAUUCUUAUUCAAGUAUCCUUUUAUGCUAUCCAGAAAUUCUAUAUCAUUUCCAAUCAACAAUAUUUCAUCCACAUAUAAUAUUAGAAAUGCUACGGAGCUCCCACACACUUUCUUGUAAAUACAGGCUUCUCCAAAAGUCUGUAUAAAACCAUAUCCUUUGAUCACACUAUCAAAGCGUAUAUUCCAACUCCGAGAUGCUUGCACCAGUCCAUAAAUGGAUCGCUGGAGCUUGCACACUUUAUUAGCACAUUUAGGAUCGACAAAACCUUCUGGUUGCAUCAUAUCCAACUCUUCUUUAAGAAAACCAUUAAGGAAUGCGGUUUUGACGUCCAUUUGCCAAAUUUCAUAAGUAUAAAAUGUGCAAUUGCUAACAUGAUUUGGACAGACUUAAGCAUCGCUACGGGUGAGAAGGUCUCAUCGUAGUCAGCUCCUUGAACUUGUCGAAACCCUUUCGCAACAAGUCGAGCUUUGUAGACAGUAACAUUACCGUCAGCAUCAGUCUUCCUCUUGAAUAUCCAUUUAUUCUCUAUGGCUUACCGAUCAUCGGUAAAGUCAACCAAAGUCCAUACUUUGUUCUAAUACAUGGAUCGCAUCUCAAAUUUCAUGGCCUCAAGCCAUUUUGCGGAAUCUAGGCUCAUCAUCGCUUCUUCAUAGUUUGUAGGUUCGUCAUGGUCUAGUAACAUGAUUUCCAGAACAGGAUUACCGUACCACUCAGGUGCGGAACAUACUUUGGUUGACCUACGAGGUUCGGUAGUAACUUGAUCUGAAGUUUCAUGAUCAUUAUCAUUAGCUUCCUCACUAAUUGGUGUAGGCAUGACUGGAACUAGUUUCUAUGAUAACUACUUUCCAAUUCGAGAGAAGGUACAAUUACCUCAUCAAGUUAUACUUUCCUCCCACUCACUUCUUUUGAGAGAAACUCCUUCUCCAGAAAGGAUCCAUUCUUAGCAACAAAUAUCUUGCCUUCGGAUCUGUUAUAGAAGGUGUACCCACCAGUUUCUUUUGGGUGUCCUAUGAAGACGCACUUCUCCGAUUUGGGUUCGAGCUUAUCAGGCUGAAGCCUUUUCACAUAAGCAUCACAACCCCAAACUUUAAGAAACGACAACUUAGGUUUCUUGCCAAACCACAGUUCAUAUGGUGUCGUCUCAAUAGAUUUAGAUGGUGCCCUAUUUAACAUGAAUGCAGCUGUCUCUAAUGCAUAACCACAGAACGAUAGUGGUAAAUAGGUAAGAGACAUCAUAGAUCGCACCAUAUCUAAUAAAGUACAGUUACGACGUUCGGACACACCAUUACGCUGUGGUGUUCCAGGUGGCGUGAGUUGCAAAACUAUUCCACAUUAUUUUAAAUGAAGACCAAACUCAUAAUUCAAAUAUUCGCCUCCGCGAUUAGAUCAUAGAAACUUUAUUUUCUUGUUACAAUGAUUUUCUACUUCACUCUGAAAUUCUUUGAACUUUUCAAAUGUUUUAGACUUGUGUUUCAUUAAAUAGAUAUACCCAUAUCUGCUCAAAUCAUCUGUGAAGGUCAGAAAAUAACGAUACCCGCCGCGAGCCUCAACACUCAUCGGACCGCAUACAUUAGUAUGUAUUAUUUCCAAUAAGUCAGUGGCUCGAUCCAUUGUUCCGGAGAGCGGAGUCUUAGUCAUCUUGCCCAUGAGGCAUGGUUCGCAAGUAUCAAGUGAUUCAUAAUCAAGUGAUUCCAAAAGCCCAUCUGUAUGGAGUUUCUUCAUGCGCUUUACACCAAUAUGACCUAAACGGCAGUGCCACAAAUAUGUUGCACUAUCAUUAUUAAUUUUGCAUCUUUUGGCAUCAAUAUUAUGAAUAUGUGUAUCACCACGGUCGAGAUUCAAUAAAAAUAGACCACUCAUCAAGGGUGCAUGACCAUAAAAGAUAUUACUCAUAUAAAUAGAACAACCAUUAUUCUGUGAUUUAAAUGAAUAACCGUCUCGCAUCAAACAAGAUCCAGAUAUAAUGUUAAUGCUCAACGCUGGCACCAAAUAAAAAUUAUUCAGGUCUAAAACUAAUCCCGAAGGUAGAUGUAGAGGUAUCAUGCCGACGGCGAUCACAUCGACCUUGGAACCAUUUCUGACGCGCAUCGUCACCUCAUCCUUAGCCAAUCUUCGUUUAAUCCGUAGCCCAUGUUUCAAGUUGCAAAUAUGAGCAACAGAACCAGUAUCAAAUACCCAGGUACUACUACGAGCAUUAGUAUGGUAUACAUCAAUAACAUGUAUAUCAAAUAUACCUUUGUUCACUUUGCCAUCCUUCUUAUCUACCAAAUACUUGGGGCAGUCCCGCUUCCAGUGACCAGUCUCUUUGCAGCUGAAGCACUCAAUUUCAGGCUUAGGUCCAGAGUUGGGCUUCUUCCCGGGAGUAGCAACUUUCUUGCUAUUAUUCUUGAAGUUCCCUACUUUCCUGUUGCCCUUUUUCUUGAAACUAGUGGUCUUGUUAACCGUCAACACUUGAUGCACCUUCUGGAUUUCUACCUCCGCAGCCUUGAGCACUACGAAGUUCUCGGGAAUUGUCUUGCUCAUCCCUUGCAUAUUAUAGUUCAUCACGAAGACUUUAUAGCUUGGUGGCAGUGAUUCAAGAACUCUGCCAAUAACACUAUCAUCCGGAAUAUUAACUCCCAGCUGAGUCAAGUGGUUAUGGUACUAGACAUUCUGAGUAUGUUUUCACUGACAGAACUGUUCUCCUCCAUCUUGCAGCUAUAGAACUUGUUGGAGACCUCAUAUCUCUCAACUCGGGAAUUUGCUUGAAAUAUUAACUUCAACUCCUGAAACAUCUCAUAUGCUCCAUGAUGUGCAAAACGUCUUUGAAGUCUUGAUUCUAAGCCGUAAAGCAUGGCACACUGAACUAUCGAGUAGUCAUCAGAUUUAGCUUGCCAGACAUUCAAAACAUCAACAGUUGCUCCUGCAGCAGGCCUUGCACCUAGCGGUGCAUCAAAGACGUAAUUCUUAUGUGCAGCAAUGAGGAUAAUCCUCAAGUUACGAACCCAGUCCGUGUAGUUGCUACCAUCAUCUUUCAACUUAGCUUUCUCUAGGAACGCAUUAAAAUUCAAGGGAACGGUAGCACGGGCCAUUGAUCUACAACAUAGAUAUGCAAAUACUAUCAGGACUAAGUCCAUGAUAAAUUAAGUUCAAUUAAUCAUAUUACUUAAGAACUCCCACUUAGAUAGACAUCCCUCAAGUCAUCUAAAUGAUCACGUGAUCCAUAUCAACUAAACCAUGUCCGAUCAUCAUGUGAGAUGGAGUAGUUUUGAAUGGUGAACAUCUCUAUGUUGAUCAUAUCUACUAUAUGAUUCACGUUCGACCUUUCGGUCUCAGUGUCCCAAGGCCAUGUCUGUACAUGCUAGGCUCGUCAAGUUUAACCCGAGUAUUCUGCCCAUGCAAAACUGUCUUGCACCCAUUGUAUGUGAACGUAGAGCUUAUCACACCCAAUCAUCACGUGGUGUCUCGUCAGGAUGAACUGUCGCAACGAUGCAUACUUAGGGAGAACACUUAUACCUUGAAAUUUAGUGAGGGAUCAUCUUAUAAUGCUACCGUCGUACUAAGCAAAAUAAGAUGCAUAAAAGAUAAACAUCACAUGCAAUCAAAAUAUGUGACAUGACAUGGCCAUCAUCAUCUUGUGACUUCGGUCUCCAUCUCCAAACCACCGUCAUGAUCUCCAUCGUCACCGGCUUGACACCUUGAUCUCCAUUGUAGCGUCGUUGUCAUCUCGCCAACUAUUUCUUCUACAACUAUCGUUGCCACAUAGUGAUGAAGUAAAGCAAUUACAUGGCGAUUGCAUUUUAUACUAUAAAGCGACAACCAUAAGGCUCCUGCCAGUUGCCGCUAACUUCUACAAAACAUGAUCAUAUCAUACAAUAACUUAUAUCACAUCAUGUCAUGACCAUAUCACAUCAGAACAUGCCCUGCAAAAACAAGUUAGACGUCCUCUACUUUGUUGUUGCAAGUUUUACGUGGCUGCUAUGGGCUUCUAGCAAGAACUGUUCUUACCUACGCAUCAAAACCACAACGAAUUCUCAUCAAGUGUGUUUUUUUAACCUUCAACAAGGACCGGCCAUAGUCAAAUUUGAUCAACUAAAGUUGGAGAAAUAGACACCCACCAGCCACCUUUAUGCAAAACAAGUUGCAUGUCUGUCAGUGGAAUGGGUCUCAUGAACGUGGUCAUGUAAGGUUGGUUCGGGCCGCUUCAUCCAACAAUACCGCCGAAUCAAAAUAAGACGUUGGUGGUAAGCAGUAUGACUAUUAUCUCCCAGAACUCUUUCUGUUCUACUUGUGCAUAUCAUCUACGCAUAGACCUGGCUCGGAUGCCACUGUUGGGCAACGUAGCAUGCAAUUUCAAAAUAAUUCCUACAAUCACGCAAGAUCUAUCUAGGAGAUGCAUAGAAACGAGAGGGGGAGAGUAUGUCUAUGUACCCUCGUAGACUGAAAGCGAAAGAGUUAGGUUAACGCGGUUGAUGUAGUAGAACGUCUUCACGAUCCAACCUAUCUAGUACCGAACGUAUGGCACCUCCGAGUUCAGCACACGUUCAGCUCGAUGACGUCCCUUGAACUCUUGAUCCAGCAGAGGGUCGAGGGAGAGUUUCAUCAGCACGACGACAUGGUGACGGUGAUAGUGAUGUGAUCCGCACAGGGCUUCGCCUAAGCACUACGACGCUAUGACCGGAGGAGUAAAUUAUGGAGGGGGCACCACACACGGCUAAGAGAAUAACUGUUGUGCUUUGGGGUGCCCCUGCCCCCGUAUAUAAAGGAGGGAGGAGGAGGCCAGCCACCAAGGGGAGCGCCAAGGGGGGGAGUCCUAGUAGGAUUCGCCCCCCCCCUUUUUCCUUUCUCAUCGGAGGGGAAAAGGGAAGGAGAGGGAGAGGGAGAGGGAAAGAGGAAAGGGGGCCGCGCCCCCUCCCCCUUGUCCAAUUCGGACUCCCUUGGGCGGGGGGGGGGGCACCUUGCGGGCUCCACUCUCUUUCUCCCCUAUGGCCCAUGAAGGCCCAUUACUUCCCGGGGGGUUCCAGUAACCCCUUGGUACUCCAAUAAAUAUUCGAAACGUCCUGAAAUCAUUCCGUUUUCCGAAUACUAUCGUCCAAUAUAUCAAUCUUUACCUCUUGACCAUUUUGAGACUCCUCGCCAUCUCCAUGAUCUCAUUCGGGACUUCAAACAUACUUCGGUCACCAAAACACAUAACCCUUAAUACAAAUCAUGAUCGAACGUUAAGCGUGCGGACCCUACGGGUUCGAGAACUAUGUAGACAUGACCGAGACACAUCUCCGAUCAAUAACCAACAGCGGAAUCUGGAUGCUCAUAUUGGUUCCUACAUAUUCUACGAGGAUCUUUAUCGGUCACACCGCAAUAACAACAUACGUUAUUCCCUCAGUCAUUGGUAUGUUACUUGCCCGAGAUUCGAUCGUCGGUAUCAUCAUACCUAGUUCAAUCUCGUUACCAGCAAGUCUCUUUACUCGUUCCGUAAUGCAUCAUCCCGUAAUUAACUCAUUUAUCACAUUGCUUGCAAGGCUUAUAGUGAUGUGCAUUAACGAGAGGGCUCAGAGAUACCUCUACGAUACUCGGAGUGACAAAUCCUAAUCUUGAUCCAUGCCAACCCAACAAACACCUUUGGAGACACCUGUAGAGCAUCUUUAUAAUCAUCCAGUUACGUUGUGACGCUUGAUAGCACACAAGGUGUUCCUCCGGUAUUCGGGAGUUGCAUAAUCUCAUAGUCAAAGGAAUAUGUAUAAGUCAUGAAGAAAGCAAUAGCAAUAAAACUUAACGAUCAUUAUGCUAAGCUAACGAAUGGGUCUUGUGUUGGGGAACGUAGCAUUUCAAAAAUUUCCUACGACGACGCGAGAUCUAUCUAGGAGAAGCAUAGCAACGAGCGGGGAGAGUGUGUCCACGUACCCUCGUAGACCGAAAGCGGAAGCGUUUAGUAACGCGGUUGAUGUAGUCGAACGUCUUCGUGAUCCAACCGAUCCAAGUACCGAACGUAAGGCACCUCCGGGAUCAGCACACAUUCAGCUCGAUGACGUCCCUCAAACUCUUGAUCCAGUUGAGGCCGAGGGAGAGUUCCGUCAGCACGACGGUGUGGUGACAGCGAUGAUGAAGUUACCGAUGCAGGGCUUCACCUAAGCACUUCAACAAUAUGAUCGAGGUGUGUAACUGUGGAGGGGGGCACCACACACGGCUAAAAGAUCAACUUGUGUGUCUUUGGGGUGCCCCUGCCUCCGUAUAUAAAGGAGGGAGAGGGAGAGGCAGUUGGCCCUAGGGGGCGCGCCAAGGUGUGGAGUCCUACUAGGACUCCCUAUUCCUAGUAGGAUUCCACCUCCCACACGGAGUUGGAAAGGGGGAAGGGAGAAGGAGCGGGAAAGGGGGGCCGGCCCCCUUCUCCUAGUCCUAAUCGGCCUCCUGAUAAUCCCCAAGUACAGGGAAUCAUCGUAGCAAUUCCCAAUGGUGGAAGUGAUAAGUAUGGAGUGUCGAAUCCACAAGGAGCUAAAUGUAAGAUCAAUAUUCUCUCAAGCCCUAUCUGCCACUGAUACGACUCUACGUACACCGAACGUUUGCUUCCAACUAGAAACGAGAAAUAAAACUAUGUUGUGGGUAUGAAGAGGAUAACUUUGCAUGAUAUCGGAGCUAAAACAUAAAAGUAGGUGUUGUUAUCAUAAAGUUAGAAUAUAUUACUAAAUAUUAUAAAUAGCGAGUGUGGAAUAAUGGUGGAUCGGUGUGCGGAAUUGUCUUAGGCAAUUGUUAACAAGACCGGUGGUCAUCAUUGCAAUUUCAUAUGAGGGAGAGGCAUAAGCUAACAUACUUUCUCUUCUUGGAUCAUAUGCACUUAUGAUUGGAACUCUAGAAAGCAUCCGCAACUACUAAAGAUCAUUAAGGUAAAACCCAACCAUAGCAUUAAAGCAUCAAGUCCCCUUUAUCCCAUACGCAACAACCCCCUUACCCGGAUUUAUGCUUAUGUCACUCAAGCAACCCAGUAUAAGCGAAUCAUGAAUGUAUUGCAACACCCUCACGACACGGAGGGCACAAUAGGACAGCACCAAAAUAAAACAUACAACUCAUACCAAUCUAGAUCAUCAAUCAACCCAAAGAAAAAGGAUAUCUACUCAAAACAUCAUAGGAUGGCAACACAUCAUUGGAUCAUAAUAUGUGGCAUAAAGCACCAUGUUCAAGUAGGGAUUACAACGGGGUGCGGGAGAGUGGACCGCAUAAAAGAGAUGAGGAUGGUGAUGGUGAUGUUGAUGAAAAUGAUCACCAUGGCGAUGAUUCCCCUCCCGAUGGCACUCAGGUGCCACCAAGAGAGAGGAGGAGAGGUUCUCCCCCUUGUGCUUCCUCCUCCAUGGCCUCCCCCUGGAUGGGGAGAGGUUCUCCCUCUGGUCCUUGGCCUUCAUGACGAUGAUGGCCCCUCCGAGAUCCUCCUCCAUACCCUCCGGUGAUGAUAGCCCCCUCCGACAAGGUGCUAGAGAGGACCUAUAUUGAUUUCUCAUGGCUACAGAGGCUUGUGGCGGCGGGACUUCCGAUCUAGGUUAAUUUCUAGAGGUUUGGGUAUUUAUAGGAGAGGUUGGCGUCGAGAACAAGUCAGAGGGCCCCACGGGUAGUCCACGAGGCACAUGGGCAUGCCCCAAGGGGGUGGGCGCGCUCCCACCCUCGUGGGGCCCAUGGGACUCCCCUCCCGUAACUCUUUGUUCCAUUAUUUUUUAUAUUUUCGAGAAAAAUUCCCCAUUGAUUUUCAGCGCAUUCCGAGAACUUUUAUUUCUGCACAAAAACAACACCACGAUAAUUCUGCUGAAAACAGCGUGAGUCCGGGUUAGUUCUAAUCAAAUCAUACCAAAAUCAUAUAAAACAAUAGUAAACAUGGCAUGAAUACUUCCUAAAUUAUCGAUACAUUGGAGACGUAUCAGCAUCCCCAAGCUUAAUUCCCGCUCGUCCUCAAGUAGGUAAAUGAUAAAAGAAAUAAUUUAUGAAGUGUGAAUGCUAGCAAGUGCUUAAUUUUGAUCAAUGAUAGUUUCAAUCACUUUUUAUAGCAUCAUUAUAUAUCAUAACAGUAGCUAAACUCAUAAAACUUCUCAUGAUCAAGUAACAAGCUAUUCACAUGUUAAAGUAUAGAUCAUAAACUUUCUUGGAAACUAACAAACCGUGCUCCUAGUCAUCAAACAAUUGCAAUUCAUCUCAUUUUUGGGAAGGGUCUAUGUAAGAGCUUUGAUUUAGCAAACUCCACAUACUCAACUAUCAUUUAAUCUUUCACAAUUGCUAACACUCAUGUGAUAUUUAUGGGUUCAAAGUUUUAAUCAGACACAGAGAAAGAUAUGGGCUUAUAGUUUUGCCUCCCAACCUUUUACCUCAAGGGUAAUGUCAACAAUAAUAAUUUAUGAAAACCUACAUCCAAGUGAUAUAUAUAUCCGGAUCGCUCCAACACAAAGUGUUUGCCAAAGGAAAAAGUGUAAAAAGGGAAAGGUGAUGAUCACCAUGACUCUUGUAUGAGGCUAGAAGAUAAAAGUAAAAGAUAGGCCCUUCGCAGAGGGAAGCAGAGGUUGUCAUGUGUUUUUAUGGUUGGAUGCAUGAAAUCUUGAUGCAAAAGAACAUCACUUUAUAUUGCCACUUGUGAUAUGGGCCUUUAUUAUGCAGUCCGUCGCUUUUAUUUCUUCCACAUCACAAGAUCGUAUAAAGCUUAUUUUCUCCACACUAAUAAAUCAUACAUAUUUAGAGAGCAAAUUUUAUUGCUUGCAACAAUGAAAACUUACUUGAAGGAUCUUACUCAAUCCAUAGGUAGAUAUGGUGGACUCUCAUGGCAAAACUGGGUUUAAGGAUAUUUGGUAGCACAAGUAGUAUCUCUACUUGGUGCAAAGAAUUUGGCUAGUAUGAGAGAGAAAGGCAAGCUCAACAUGUUGGAUGAUCCAAGACAAUAUAACGUUUCAGGUAUAGGAAAACAUAUCCCAUUAAGUUGUCUUCCUUGUCCAACAUCAAACUUUUAGCAUGUCAUAUUUUAAUGAGUGCUCACAAUUGUAAAAGAUGUCAAAGAUAGUACAUUUAUAUGUGAAAUCUCUCUUCCUUCAAUAUUCUUUCAUGAAUUGUUCAAGUGACCAAUUCUGCAUUUGCUAACUUUCAAUGAGUUUACUACCUAUACUUAUUAUGUGUGAAGUCAUUACUCCCCAUGUUAUAAGCAUAUGAAACGUAUAUAACUUCAGAUUUAUGAUAUUCAAUUCAUUCAACCAUUUACUCAUAGGAUAUACAUGAAGCGCGUGAGUAAAUGACAAACUACUCCAAAAUGAUAUAAGUGAAGAAUGCUGAGUAGUCAAAUAAUUAACUAGCCAUGGGAGGAUUCUUUAUUUCCAUUCAAGAUUUCAGAUCCAAUGAUUUUAUUCCAACAGCAAGUAAAAUUUAAAAUACGCUCCAAGCAAAACACAUAUCAUGUGACGAAUAAAAAUAUAGCUCCGCGUAAGGUAUACUGAUAGUUUUGAAGACGAAAGAGGGCAUGCCUUCCAGGGCAUCCCCAAGCUUAGGCGCUUGAAUCUUCCUUGAAUAUUACCGUGGGGUGCCUUGUUAAUCCCCAAGCUUAGGGUCUUUCCACUCCUUAUUCUCGUCAUAUCGAUAUCUCACCCAAAGCUUGAAAACUUCAAUCACACAAAACUUAACGAAACUUCGUGAGAUAGGUUAGUAUGAUAAAGAGUAAACCAUUCACUUUGGUAAUGUCAAAGACAAGGCUCAUAAUUGUUCUCACACAAUGCCUACUGUACCAUAUCAUUUCUACAAUUUAUAUUGAGAAAUAUAAGCCAUAGAAACUAGAAAACAAGCAAACUAUACAAUGAAAACAGAAUCUGUCAGAAACAGAAUAGUCUGUAAUGAUCUGAACACCAACCAUACUUCUGCUACACCAACAAUUCUGAAAUAAAUUGGUGGACGUGAGGAAUUUGUCUAUUAAUCUUCUGAAAAAAGAAUCAACUCAAUCUCACUCUUCUGUAAAAAAUGGAAGCUAAUCUCGUGAGCGCAAAGUUUCUGUUUUUUAUAGCAAGAUCACAUUAACUUUCACCCAAGUCUUCCCAAAGGUCUUGCUUGGAACUUUAUUGAAACAAAAUCUAUAAUACAUGAUUAAUACAAUAUCUUAAUCAUGAUAGCACAAAAAAACAUUAAGGGUAAAUAUUGGGCUGUCUUCCAACAAGCGCUUUUCUUUAAUGCCUUUUAGCUAGGCAUGAUGAUUUCAACGAUGCUCACAUAAAAGAUAAGAAUUGAAACAUAAAGAGAGCAUCAUGAAGAAUAUGACUAGCAAAUUUAAACCUAACCCACUUCCUAUUCCUCGGGAUUUUGUGAGCACACAAUUUAUAGGAACAAGGAUCAACUAGCAUAGGAAGGCAAAACAAGGAUAACUUCCAAACUUUAAGCACAUAGAGAGGAAACUUGAUAUUAUUGCAACUCCUACAAGCAUAUAUUCCUCCCUCAUAAUAAUUUUCAGUAGCAUCAUGAAUGAAUUCAACAAUAUAACCAUCACAUAAAGCAUUCUUUUCAUCAUCUACAAGCAUAUAAAUUUUACUACUCUCCACAUAAGCAAAAUUCUUCUCAUUCGGAAUAGUGGAAUCAUUACUAACUAAAGUUGACACUCUUCCAAAUCCACUUUAGAUUAUAGUAUUAUUCACACUCCAAAAUAUAUAAGUGAAGUUCAUGGAUCAUUAUAGAAUUAAUAUAGACUAACCAAUACCCAAGCUCAAAAUAUAUAAGUGAAGCACACGAAGCAUUCUAUAAAGCCAUACUCAAAAGAUUUAAGUGAAGCACAAAUGGCAAUUCUAUAAGAUCAUACUUAAAAGAUAUAAGUGAAGCACACGAAGUGUUCCAUAAAUCAGUAAAGAACUAUCUCCUACUAGCAUGGUUCUUAAAGGAAAAAUAAAAACCCAAAGGACACAAAUUAUGUGAACAAAACAAAAACCGAGGUAUACCGAUAAUUGUUGAAGAAGAAAGAUGGGAUGCCAACUGGGUAUCCCCAAGCUUAGAUGUUUGAGUAUCCUUGAAAUAUUUGCUUGGGGUGCCUUGGACAUCCCCAAUCUUGAGCUCUUGCCUCUCUUUAUUAUUCUCAUAUUGACAGCUCCUCGAUCUUCGAACACUUCAUCCACACAAAACUUUAACCAAAACUUUGUGAGAUCCAUUAGUGUAACAAAGCAAAUCACUACCUUUAGGUACCGUUGAAAACUUAUUCCAAUUUAAUAUUUGCACUAUAUAUAUUGUAUUCCAACUUCACCAUGGUUCAUACCCCCCGAUACUACCCAUGGAUUCAUCAAAAUAAACGAACAACUCAUAGAAAACAGAAUCUGUCAAAAACAGGACAGUCUGUAGUAAUCUGGAAGUUUAGUAAACUUCUGUAACUCCAAAAAUUCUAAAAAAUAUGAGAAUUUUAAAAAAAUUGUACAGAAUUAAUUUUCAAAAAAUUUCAGACCCAUUUGACUUUCCAGUAAAAAUGUAAAAUCACGCGCUACAGCCAAAGUUUCUAUUUUUGUACUAUACAUAGUAAACAAGCAAUCUAAUCAUCCUAAAACCGAAGCUUUGCACAUUAGUUUUAUAAUACAAUGGAUAUAUACAAGGGGAUAAUUAUUUUCAGAGAAGCUUCCAUGAAAUGUUUUACAUUGUUUCCAUGAGCAUGAACACAAGUGCUCAAGGUUGACCCUCAUUUCUUCAAUGCAUAAUCUUCCAAUCACUUCUCUCAUUGAAAAACUUUGUAGGCAUGAGAGGCAAGUAAAUUCUUUUUGUAUUUUCAUUCUUUGAAUUUUUUUGUAUGUUUCACCCACAACUAAAUAGAAACAAAAAGGAAAACAAAAUCUACUUAGUGAAGAAAGCAAACACGCACACACGUGAAUAUCAACCCCACGCUAUUGCUCCCCGGCAACGGCGCCAGAAAAGAGCUUGAUAAUCCCCAAGUGCAGGGAAUCAUUGUAGCAAUUCCCAAUGGUGGAAGUGAUAAGUAUGGAGUGUCGAACCGACAAGGAGCUAAAGGUAAGAUCAAUAUUCUCUCAAGCCCUAUCUUCCACUGAUACGACUCUACGUAUACCGAACGUUUGCUUCCAACUAGAAACGAGAAAUAAAACUAUGUUGUGGGUAUGAAGAGGAUACCUUUGCAUGAUAUCGGAGAGCUAAAACAUAAAAGUAGGGGCUGUUAUCAUAAAGUUAGAAUAUAUUACUAAAUAUUGUAAAUAGCGAGUGUGGAAUAAUGGUGGAUCGGUGUGCGGAAUUGUCUUAGGCAAUUGUUAACAAGACCGGUGGUCGUCAUUGCAAUUUCAUAUGAGGGAGAGGCAUAAUCUAACAUACUUUCUCUUCUUGGAUCAUAUGCACUUAUGAUUGGAACUCUAGCAAGCAUCCGCAACUACUAAAGAUCAUUAAGGUAAAACCCAACCAUAGCAUUAAAGCAUCAAGUCUCCUUUAUCCCAUACACAACAACCCCCUUACUCGAGUUUAUGCUUCUGUCACUCAAGCAACCAACUAUAAGUGAAUCAUGAACGUAUUGCAACACUCUACAGCGGGGAUCCCUCACGCUUGCGCGACACGGAGGGCACAAUAGGACAACACCAAAAUAAAACAUACAACUCAUACCAAUCUAGAUCAUCAAUCAACCCAAAGACAAAGGAUAUCUACUCAAAACAUCAUAGGAUGGCAACACAUCAUUGGAUCAUAAUAUGUGGCAUAAAGCACCAUGUUCAAGUAGGGAUUACAAUGGGGUGCGGGAGAGUGGACCGCAUAAAAGAGAUGAGGAUGGUGAUGAUGAUGGUGAUGUUGAUGAAGACGAUCACCGCUACGAUGAUUCCCCUCCCGAUCGCACUCCGGUGCCACCGAGAGAUUGGAGGAGAGGUUCUUCCCCUUGUGAUUCCUCCUCCAUGGCCUCCCCCUGGAUGGGGAGAGGUUCUCCCUCUGGUCCUUGGCCUUCAUGACGAUGAUGGCCCCUCCGGGAUCCUCCUCCAUGCCCUCCGGUGAUGAUGGCCCCCUCCGACAGGGUGCUAGAGAGGGCCUAGAUUGAUUUAUCUUGGCUAUAGAGGCUUGCGGCGGCGGAACUUCCGAUCUAGGUUAAUUUCUGGAGGUUUGGGUAUUUAUAGGAGAGGCUGGCGUCGAGAACAAGUCAGGGGACCCCACGGGUAGUCCACGAGGCACAGGGGCGCGCCCCAGGGGGGUGGGCGCGCCACCCACCCUUGUGGGGCCCACAGGACUCCCCUCCCGUAACUCUUUGUUCCAUUAUUUUUUAUAUUUUCCUGAAAAAUUCCUGGUUUAUUUUCGGCGCAUUCUGAGAACUUUUAUUUCUGCACAAAAACAACACCAUGGUAAUUCUGCUGAAAACAGCGUCAGUCCGGGUUAGUUCUAAUCAAAUCAUACCAAAAUCAUAUAAAACAAUAGUAAACAUGGCAUGAAUACUUCAUAACUUAUCGAUACGUUGGAGACAUAUNNNNNNNNNNNNNNNNNNNNNNNNNNNNNNNNNNNNNNNNNNNNNNNNNNNNNNNNNNNNNNNNNNNNNNNNNNNNNNNNNNNNNNNNNNNNNNNNNNNNNNNNNNNNNNNNNNNNNNNNNNNNNNNNNNNNNNNNNNNNNNNNNNNNNNNNNNNNNNNNNNNNNNNNNNNNNNNNNNNNNNNNNNNNNNNNNNNNNNNNNNNNNNNNNNNNNNNNNNNNNNNNNNNNNNNNNNNNNNNNNNNNNNNNNNNNNNNNNNNNNNNNNNNNNNNNNNNNNNNNNNNNNNNNNNNNNNCCCCUUGUGGGCUGGUGCGCUUCCCUCUUAUGGCCCAUAAGGCCCAUAACUUCUCCCGGGGUAAUCUAAAAAUAUAAAAACAGCAAGGUGACUAAUGAUAAAAUGGUAAAUUGUAUAGGUCUCUUGUGUCCCUAACACACCCAAUACAAUGGUAAAUUGUAUAGGUGCACUAGUUCGGCGAAGAGAUGGUGAUACAAGUGCAAUAUGGAUGGCAGAUAUAGGUUUUUGUAAUCUGAUAAUAUAAAAACAGCAAGGUAACUAAUGAUAAAAAUGAGCGAAAACAAUAUUGCAAUACGUUGAAACAAGGCCUAGGGUUGAUACUUGCACUAGUGCAAGUUCUCUCAACAAUAAUAACAUAAUUGGAUCAUAUAACAAUCCCUCAACAUGCAACAAAGAGCCACUCCAAAGUCACUAAUAGCGGAGAACAAACGAAGAAAUUAUUGUAGGGUAUGAAACCACCUCAAAGUUAUCCUUUCUGAUCGAUCUAUUCAAGAGUCCGUAGUAAAAUAACACGAAGCUAUUCUUUCCGUUCAAUCUAUCCUAGAGUUCGUACUAGAGAAACACCUUAAGACACAAAUCAACCAAAACCCUAAUGUCACCUAGAUACUCCAAUGUCACCUCAAGUAUCCGUGAGUAUGAUUAUAUGAUAUGCAUCACACAAUCUCAGAUUCAUCUAUUCAACCAACACAAAGAACUUCAAAGAGUGCCCCAAAUUUUCUACCGGAGAGUCAAGACGAAAACGUGUGCCAACCCCUAUGCAUAAGUUCACAAGGUCACGGAACCCGCAAGUUGAUGACCAAAACAUACAUUGAGUAGAUCACGUGAAUAUUCCAUUGUCACCAUAGAUAAGCACAUGCAAGACAUACAUCAAGUGUUCUCAAAUCCUUAAAGACUCAAUACGAUAAGAUAACUUCAAAGGUAAAACUCAAUUCAUCACAAGGAGAUAGAGGGGGGGAAACAUCAUAAGAUCCAACUAUAAUAGCAAAGCUCGCGAUACAUCAAGAUCGUGCCGAAUCAAGAACACGAGAUAGAGAGAUCUCAAACACAUAGCUACUGGUACAUACCCUCAACCCCAAGGGUGAACUACUCCCUCCUCGUCAUGGAGAGCGCCGGGAUGAUGAAGAUGGCCACUGGUGAUGGAUCCCCCCUGCGGCAGGGUGCCGGAACAGGUCUAGAUUGGUUUUUGGUGGCUACGGAGGCUUGCGGCAGUGGAACUCCCGAUUUAGGUUUCUUUUCGGAGGUUUCUGUAUUUAUAGGAAUUUUUGGCGUAGGUCCCACGUCAGGGGGUCUCCGAGUCAUCCGCGAGAUAGGGGGUGCGCUCGGGGGGCUAGGGCGCGCCCCCACCCUCGUGGAUGGCUCGGGACUCUUCUGGCCCAACUCUUUUACUCCGGGGGCUUCCUUUGGUCCAUAAAAAAUCAUCAAAAAUUGGCACGUCAAUUGGACUCCGUUUGGUAUUCCUUUUCUGUAAAACUCAAAAACAAGAAAAAUACAGAAACUAGCACUCGGCUCUAGGUUAAUAGGUUAGUCCCCAAAAUCAUAUAAAUGCAUAUAAAACAUCCAAGAUUGAUAAUAUAAUAGCAUGGAACAAUCAAAAAUUAUAGAUACAUUGGAGACGUAUCAAGCAUCCCCGAGCUUAAUCCUUGCUCGUCCUCGAGUAGGUAAAUGAUAAAAACAGAAUUUUUGAUGUGGAAUGCUACCUAACAUAUUUAUCCAUGCAAUUCUCUUUAUAGUGGCAAGAAUAUUCAGAUCCAUAAGAUUCAAGAUGAAAGUUUAAUAUUGACAUAAAAACAAUAAUACUUCAAGCAUACUACCAAAGUAAUCAUGUCCUCUCAAAAUAACAUGGCCAAAGAAAGCUCAUCCCUACAAAAUCAUAUAGUUUGGUUAUGCUCCAUCUUCGUCACACAAAAUAUCCAAAUCAUGCACAACCCCGAUGACAAGCCAAGCAUUUUUUUCAUACUUUAGUAUUCUCAAACUUUUUCAACUUUCACGCAAUACAUGAGCGUGAGCCAUGGACAGAGCACUAUAGGUGGAAUAGAGUGGUGGUUGUGGAGAAGACAGAAAGGAGGAAGAUGGUCUCACAUCAAAUGGGCUAUGGAGAUGCCCAUCAAUAGAUAUCAAUGUGAGUGAGUAGGGAUUGCCAUGCAACGGAUGCACUAGAGCUAUAAAUGUAUGAAAGCUCAACAAGAAACUAAGUGGGUGUGCAUCCAACUUGCUUGCUCACGAAGACCUAGGUAAUUUGAGGAAGCCCAUCGUUGGAAUAUACAAGCCAAGUUCUAUAAUGAAAAUUUCCCACUAGUACAUUAAAGUGACAAAAUAAGAGACUCUCUAUCAUGAAGAUCAUGGUGCUACUUUGAAGCACAAGUGUGGUAAAAGGAUAGUUGCAUUGCCCCUUCUCUCUUUUUCUCUCAUUUUUUUAUUUUUUUGUUUGGCUUCUUUGGCCUCCUUUUCUCUUUUUUUUGUUUCCUCACAUGGGACAAUGCUCUAAUAAUGAUGAUCAUCACACUUCUAUUUAUUUACAACUCAAAGAUUACAACUCGAUACUUAGAACAAAAAUAUGACUCUAUAUGUAUGCCUCCGGCGGUGUACCGGGAUGUGCAAUGAAUCAAGAGUGACAUGUAUGAAAAAAAUAUGAAUGGUGGCUUUGCCACAAAUACGAUGUCAACUACAUGAUCAUGCAAGGCAAUAUGACAAUGAUGAAGCAUGCCAUAAUAAAUGGAAUGGUGGAAGGUUGCAUAGCAAUAUAUGUCAGAAUGGCUAUGGAAAUGCCAUAAUAGGUAGGUAUGGUGGCUGUUUUCAGGAAGGUAAAUGGUGGGUUUAUGGUACCGGCGAAAGUUGUGCGGUACUAGAGAGGCUAGCAAUGGUGGAAGUGUGAGAGUGCGUAUAAUCCAUGGACUCAACAUUAGUCAUAAAGAACUCACAUACUUAUUGCAAAAAUCUACAAGUCAUCAAAAACCAAGCACUACGCGCUUGCUCCUAGGGGGAUAGAUUGGUAGAAAAAGACCAUUGCUCAUCCCUGACCGCCACUCAUAAGGUAGACAAUCAAAGAAAUACAUCAUGCUUCAAACUUGUUACACAACGGUUACCAUACGUGCAUGCUACGGGACUUGCAAACCUCAACACAAGUAUUUCUCAAAUUCGCAAUUAGUUUACUACCAUAACUCUAAUAUCACCAUCCUCAUGUCUCAAAACUAUCAUCAAGCAUCAAACUUCUCAUAGUAUUCAACGCACUUUAUAUGAAAGUUUUUAUUAUAUCCCUCUUGGAUGCCCAUCAUAUUAGGACUAAGUUCAUAACCAAAGCAAAUUACCAUGCUAUUCUAAAAGACUCUCAAAAUAAUAUAAGUGAAGCAUGAGAGUUCAUCCAUUUCUUCAAAAUAAAACCACCGCCGUGCUCUAAAAAGAUAUAAGUGAAGCACUAGAGCAAAUGACAAACUACUUCGAAAGAUAUAAGUGAAGAACAAUGAGUAGUUGAAUAAUUAUGUAACUAUGUGAAGACUCUCUAACAUCUAAGAAUUUAAGAUCUUGGGAUAUUAUUCAAACAGCAAGCAAAACAAAAAAAAAAUAAAA